Dermochelys coriacea (leatherback sea turtle) is the source of this 1487-nucleotide non-coding RNA. NCBI's taxonomy places the organism in Eukaryota, Metazoa, Chordata, Testudines, Dermochelyidae. The record is from the annotation of a RefSeq genome assembly.
UUAAUGUUGAUAAAUGCAAAGCAAUGCACGUUGGAAAGCAGAAUCCGAACUCUACAUACAAAAUGAUGGGAUCUAAAUUAGCUGUUACCACUCAAGAAAGAGAUCUUGGAGUCAUUGCCAGAAGCUGGGAAUGAGAGACAGGGGAUGGAUCACUUGAUGAUUCCCUGUUCUGUUCAUUCCCUGUGGGGCACCUGGCGUUGGCCACUGUUGGAACACAGGAUACUGGACUAGACGGACCUUCGGUCUGACCCAGAAUGGCUGGUCUUAUUUUCUUAUGGGUCUAGGCUGUGAGGUGCUAGCAGCAGAGCUCUGGAUUUGCCCUUGUCCCCUGUAGCGCACCUCACAAUAACCAGCCCUGCUCCCAGGGCGCUCUGACACCCAUCAGACUGGAGUCUCCUCCCCUCUGCAGGGGCAGGAUGUGGGAAGGGGGGUGACUUCGUUUCCCUUCCAAACCCGGCAGCCGCGGCUUGGAGGCUACAAUAGACAGUAGCAGCCGCGCCUUGUGUUUGUGCACUUAAGGGCUAAACCCUCCUUAUCCUGCCAGUGAGAAUUUACCCUGCAACUCAGCUAGCAAUGCCAAUGUGGGUACAGUUUGUGUUCAUUUUAGCAGCUUGGAAAGGUACCCGGUCCCAGAUGCAGCUGGUGGAGUCCGGGGGUGGUGUUAGAAAUGAAGGGGAGUCCAUCCGGCUCUCCUGUAAAGGCUCCGGCUUCAUCUUCAGAAACUACGACAUGUUCUGGUACCGGCAGAGUCCCGGGGAAAGCCCGGAGUUUGUCUCACGCAUUUACACUGACGGGACAGGCCCACGUUACGCAGCUCGGGUUCAAGGGCGAUUCACCAUCUCCAGGGACAACGCCAGGAGCGAGCUGUAUCUGGGAAUGAGCCGCCUGAGACAGGAGGACACCGCCCGGUAUCACUGCGCUGCUAGAGAGGCACAGUGCAGAGAAGCCGGUGUGAGCUCGGACAAAAACCUCCAGUCCCCGGGCUUAACGGGUUAAAGUCAGCUUCCUUGUGGGGCGGAGGGCAGAAACCCGGCGCGCUCAGUGCUGGGAGAGAAGGGAAACUGAGUCACGACAGGGGGCACCAGGGAGGAGUGAAUUCCGGGGGAUGUGUGGGAGGGUGGGGAACACGGAUACCCCUACCUCAGCGCUUACAUUAGGCUGACCCAGAUGCCACGGAGGGAGUGUGGCGUGGGUCUCCCUGCUGCUCUGCCGUGUAGCCUGCAGACUUACGAGAGGCAGCGAGAGGAGGAAGGACAGACAGACACACAGCAGCAGCUCCCUUCUCCGCCAGCGCAUUGCUCGGGGUGUGCAAAGGAGAAGGUCUCCUCAGCGCCUCAUUCCAGCUCCCUUCCCCCGGGCGCUCCGGCGCUCUUAUAGCUACACGUCUGUAAAGCAGGAACCUCAGCCAGGGGCUUAGGCGGCCACCCUGAGCGUUCACAGCUCUGCAGGGCCAGAGGCGGAGGCAAGGUUAUUCUUUACGGCGGAAC